AAUGUCAUACUAAGAAUGAUGAAGUCCUGUUAUCUGUCUAUUUUUUCAAAUACGGAUGAUUUAAAAAUAAACCUAAUGUAUAUAGCACAUGCUAAAAUACAAUCAAAUCUCACAAAGUGCCAAAUAAGUAACAUCGAUCACUAAAAAAUACAUUUCAAUCAUAGCUUAUUAAAACAGUAUUAAUUUGAUUGCGGCAAAUGGUCUGAAAUGCAUUAGACAUUAAUGGAAGACAAAAUGUAUUCAUUUUUAUUGUCAUCAGUUUAAUGUAGCCUACAUAUUCAUUUUGCUUGCAGGGAUCAUUUUAAAGCUCAAACUGACUUCCUACACUAGUCCAUGUUCUCUCUAGGGAAGCUCGUUUUAAAUUCUGAGUAGUGAGCUCGCUGUAAAAUGUGCUUUUACUUGUUUGUUAUUUUAGGAUAUUAUUCUGUCAGUAUAACAAAGUAUUCAAGUUGUCAUGAUAACACAACAUUACUAGUUAGUAACAUAUCUACGACAAAUAAAACGCUAAUUUGAAAAUUAAUUCAAUUGAAUUAACACGCUAGUAGUAUAUUUUAAGUCAACUUGAUUAAGGAAGUAGUCGCGGCCGUUAUCAAAGUGCAUUAUGGGGUUGGCGGGCGAAGUUGACUUCCUUUCCGUCCUUGAGCCUUUUCGGACCAGGCUUCAGUAGCAUCACCGGCUCAGACUGUUUUCAAGGUUGCUGGUUCCAAAAUGAUCUGGAAGUGUAAGUUGUGCGCAGCUUCUUUCACCUCCAGAAUACAGUUAUUUAGACACUAUAGGCUGCAACAAGAUGAGACGGGCUGGAUGUCAGGAGGUCACUGUUAAUGCUG
Non-coding RNA from Gasterosteus aculeatus aculeatus (three-spined stickleback), 827 nucleotides. The record is from RefSeq and is a predicted model, not a curated record. Lineage: Eukaryota; Metazoa; Chordata; Actinopteri; Perciformes; Gasterosteidae.